UGUACUGUUGGUGACCUAGUUAUUUUCCAGUGAUCAGAAGACACCUCUGGGCUCUGGAAGCAGGAGGAUCUACUCUGGACUGAAGGUAGCAAUUACAGAGCUUGGGAGGACAGAGGGAGAACAAGCUUGCUGGCUGGGGCUCAGAGAGUGUGCCAUAAAUGGAUCUGAAAUGUAAGCUUGCUGAAUGAUUCUUUAAGGUUCCAAGUUAAAAAUAUAAAACCAUAAAUGCAUGAGUGGAUGGUGUUGGGGCUCAAUACCACAUUCAAAUACUUAAUGCAUAAUAGGCACAACACAGUCUUCUUUUUGUUCAUUUUCUUUAGUCUGCCAAAUGGGCACUGGCUCGAAACUCUAAUAUAAUACCCCUUUUCCUGGGAGCUGUGGUGUUGGCUUUCUAUAGAUAGGCUCUCCUGAGGUCCUUCCUGGAACUGCCUGGGUGAGAAAACCAAGCCCUAUGGAAGGUUCCUUGAUAGCCCUGUAGGAGCCAGAAAAGACUUUUAAAGGCCUAUAAGAGAACCAAGCUCAUGGAUAUCAUGACAGAAACUCCCAAGGGGUUACACACCACAGAUGUUUUGGCCUAGCUAUUCGUGGAGGUGGCUGACAUCAUGGCAAGACUGAUGGCUGACUAUGAACACCUGGCUAUGGCUUCUGGAACAUUCAGCAGGUACAGAAUACAAGUGUUACAGCUCCAGAGGGAAAGGUACACUGACUUGUUGGGAAGUAAGACUAUACCUGCAAGUGUUACAGAUAUGAGGGAACAGUAUCCUGCCUUGUUGGAAAGUUAGGCUAUACCUACAGCAGUGAAGGGAGGUAUCCUUGCCACCUACAGCUGUGAGAAAAAAGGUAUCCUGACUUGUUGGGAAGUCAGGCUAUACCUAAAUCUGGGGUAUGGUGAGGCAUGGUCUCCCCAUCAGAUGUAGAGAUCCUGCAGCUCUCUUAGAGAGCACUGGUACAGCUGAGCUCUGCUCCACCCUUCCAAGGGAGCUUCCCAGCAGAAGUUUACAGCACAAAUUAUAAUUAUUCUUAAUAAAUAAAGUCCAGAGUCACAUAUUAGGAGGUGAAAGCUGAAAGGUCAGAACAUUGCUACCAGUCACUAAAGAGAUGUUUUACCUCUACCAAUGUUCAAACAAAAGGGGCAAUCCUGUCCUUAGACUGUCUCCUCAGACUGUCCUGAGAUCUGUCCCUUCCCAGCCUACAUUCUUCUCUCCUCCCAGCUGUAUCCCUCCUGUCUCCACCUCCCUGUGCUGGGAUUAAAGGCAUGUGAUCAUAAGUGCUAGAGUCACCUUUGUCUGUGGUCUAUUUCUCUUUCAGACAGAUUCAAUCUUGUGUAUCCCUGAGUGGCCUUGAACUCACAGAGAUCCAUCUGCCGCUGUCUCCUGAGUU
Myodes glareolus (Bank vole) is the source of this 1380-nucleotide non-coding RNA. The record is from RefSeq and is a predicted model, not a curated record. NCBI's taxonomy places the organism in Eukaryota, Metazoa, Chordata, Mammalia, Rodentia, Cricetidae.